Molecule: ribosomal RNA, 525 nt
Filed under: uncultured bacterium
Lineage: Bacteria
Description: bacterial SSU rRNA
Rfam family: Bacterial small subunit ribosomal RNA
Source: RNAcentral
AAUAGAUACCCUGGUAGUCCAUGCCGUAAACGAUGAGUGCUAAGUGUUAGAGGGUUUCCGCCCUUUAGUGCUGCAGCUAACGCAUUAAGCACUCCGCCUGGGGAGUACGGUCGCAAGACUGAAACUCAAAGGAAUUGACGGGGGCCCGCACAAGCGGUGGAGCAUGUGGUUUAAUUCGAAGCAACGCGAAGAACCUUACCAGGUCUUGACAUCCUCUGACAACUCUAGAGAUAGAGCGUUCCCCUUCGGGGGACAGAGUGACAGGUGGUGCAUGGUUGUCGUCAGCUCGUGUCGUGAGAUGUUGGGUUAAGUCCCGCAACGAGCGCAACCCUUGAUCUUAGUUGCCAGCAUUAAGUUGGGCACUCUAAGGUGACUGCCGGUGACAAACCGGAGGAAGGUGGGGAUGACGUCAAAUCAUCAUGCCCCUUAUGACCUGGGCUACACACGUGCUACAAUGGAUGGUACAAAGGGCUGCAAGACCGCGAGGUCAAGCCAAUCCCAUAAAAUCAUUCUCAGUUCGGAUUG